GGGCAGGUGGGCUGAGAGGAAGGCCCUCACCUGAUGGGGGAAGGCACCAGGGACAGAUGCCCUUGCUCCCUGGAGGCAUUUCCUCCGGAUGAGGUUCCAUCCUACCUCACCAUCUUCCUUUCUUUGUGACUAAGUUUACGGGUCGAACUCAAGGAGAAAGGAGUAAGUUUAAAUUCACCAGCAGGGAUUUCUGCUGCAGGCCGCCAUUCACAAGACACUUGAUCUGUGGGGAUUUUAUAACGUCUCAUAACAAGGUUCAUUCUGCUGGGCCUCUCGAACUAGAAUGUGAGUGGACCCCACAGGGGUCUGGAGGGAGCCCAGCCUCUGGCCCCUGCCUCCCAGGCUGGCUCUGGGGGCACCUCACCUUACAGGCUAAGCUUAUCUGUUGGAAAAAUCACACUGGCCAGGGCUUCGUGUCUUGGGUGGAGAGUGGCUGGGGUAGAGCCAUGGGAGGAGUUAGUGCCCUUGCAGACGGUUUUCGAUUCUGUCACCACCCCUUGCCUCUCUCCAGCCUGAGUGCAGUGCCUCCCGGGUCCUCUGGACUCCAGGCAUCCAUUGAGUCCUCCUAUCCUGGAGCCUUCUCCAGGUGUCCUUCAUUCAGACACUGGACUGUUAACAGCGGAUUGCUGUCCUCCGUCUAAAUGGCUCUUCGUUCAAAGAUAGUUCUGACCCAGCAGGAGCUUCCUCCAGCCCUCGGGUUUCCUGAUUUCUUUUGCCUGCAGCGGGACCAAGCCAGACCUGGUUCCGUACUUGGUACCCACAGGGUGCACGUCUGAUGGGCGUUUGAAACAAGCGAGCAAAAGAGGGUGCUCUGGAGAGAGUUGCCUGGCGACAGUCUGCUGCUGGCCAAGAGGGAAGGAAACGCCAGUCAGGUGUCGCCGUGGCAACCAGAAGCACUUAGGUCAGGGACAAGGAUGUGGCUGGGUUAGGUGAAGGGAGGGACAGACAUUGCAGCAGCUCUGAGGACAAGGACAAGUGGGGCUCUGGGAUUUUCCCAAAGUGGUUAAGAAUCCUCCUGAGUUAUGUCCGUGAUGCUUUUCUGUGCCAAGCAUUUUUGUUCUCUGUGGACACAGCGCAGCGCCCAGAGGGAUGGAGAUGACUUCAGGGGAAAGUGGCUGUUUGCUUCUCCUCUUUGGUUCCGAGGUUAUGUUUGUUUCCGGGAAGAGGCUGCCAGGGUGAGGAUUUGAAGUGAAGCAAGACGCCUUAGGCUCCUUGUUCCUCAAAGCUAGCUACGUCCCUCUGAUUGCAUCAGAACUUGGUUUAGUAUUGCAGGUAAUUAAAAUAACAGUGCUUAAGUAAAAAAGUUAUGGGCUGACAUAAAUGAAACUCUGAAGGCAGGAGCUAGUCUUUCAGGAGGCUGGAGGCCACUGAGGAUACAGCUUCAUGGGUUGCCUUCUACCAUGUCUUCUUUGAGCUCAGGCUACAGGCAGUGGCUGCCUGGCAAUUUGAGUUUCUCCUCAUGGUGGCAGAAGGACCGCCAUGUCUCAUACUACCUCCUCACGCUUUCCUCUUUCUCAGCACACGGGCAAAUGUUCUAUGGAGCCUUACUUAUUCUUUGUCCACUAGUUACCCAUUUCUGUACCAGUUGUUGGGACCAAGGGAUACAUUGACUGAGCAGUCUGCCCAGCUGGAGUUGGGAGUUAGGUCCUUCCUAUGCAAUGUGGGAAGUGUUUAUUGAGUAGUUAUUGUGUGGGGAACCCCAUUUAUUGUUAAGCUGUUCACAUAUUAAUCAUUUAAUCUUCACAACAACCCUAGGAGGUAGGUUCAGUUAUUCCCAUGGUGCAGGUGAAGAAUCUGAGGCACAGGGAGGCUAAUUAAUUAGCUUGCCUAAGUCGCACAGCUGAUCCAUGCCAGAAAACAGAGGGAGAAGGUCAGGCUGCCAAGUAGCACACUAGGCCACGACUGCGCACACUGUCAAGGGCACUGUCCUCAGCACCUUACCACCUCUUCCCUCCUCCACUCUGGUGGAGAGGAUGCAGAAAGUUCUGGGAGAGACCAGCAGGGCUGGCAACCCUGAGCACACCCAGGUGAGCUCCAGGGCUAUUAAAACCCCGAUGCUAGCCCCUCAGGGUCAGAGAGACUGCGGUUGUCAUGGGCCCCUGGGUCUUCCUGAGG
This 2115-nucleotide long non-coding RNA is filed under the name Marmota monax (woodchuck). Lineage: Eukaryota; Metazoa; Chordata; Mammalia; Rodentia; Sciuridae. The record is from RNAcentral.